This 486-nucleotide ribosomal RNA is filed under the name uncultured bacterium. Its description in RNAcentral is "partial 16S ribosomal RNA". It matches the Rfam family "Bacterial small subunit ribosomal RNA", at positions 30 to 507 of the family's 1533-position model. The record is from RNAcentral.
AUUGAACGCUGGCGGCAUGCCUUACACAUGCAAGUCGAACGGCAGCACGGGUGCUUGCCCCUGGUGGCGAGUGGCGAACGGGUGAGUAAUACAUCGGAACAUGUCCUGUAGUGGGGGAUAGCCCGGCGAAAGCCGGAUUAAUACCGCAUACGAUCUACGGAUGAAAGCGGGGGACCUUCGGGCCUCGCGCUAUAGGGUUGGCCGAUGGCUGAUUAGCUAGUUGGUGGGGUAAAGGCCUACCAAGGCGACGAUCAGUAGCUGGUCUGAGAGGACGACCAGCCACACUGGGACUGAGACACGGCCCAGACUCCUACGGGAGGCAGCAGUGGGAAAUUUUGGACAAUGGGCGAAAGCAUGAUCCAGCAAUGCCGCGUGUGUGAAGAAGGCCUUCGGGUUGUAAAGCACUUUUGUCCGGAAAGAAAUCCUUGGCCCUAAUACGGUCGGGGGAUGACGGUACCGGAAGAAUAAGCACCGGCUAACUACGUG